RNAcentral lists this ribosomal RNA (806 nucleotides) under uncultured archaeon. RNAcentral describes it as "bacterial SSU rRNA". It matches the Rfam family "Archaeal small subunit ribosomal RNA", at positions 55 to 872 of the family's 1478-position model. The record is from RNAcentral.
GAGUCACUCCGCAAGGGGUGGCGCACGGCUCAGUAACACGUAGUCAACCUACCCUAGGGACGGGGAUAACCUCGGGAAACUGAGGCUAAACCCCGAUAGGCUAUAGCCUCUGGAAUGAGCUAUAGCUGAAAUCUAUAUGGCCCUAGGAUGGGACUGCGGCCGAUCAGGUAGUUGGUGGGGUAAUGGCCCACCAAGCCUAUAACCGGUGCGGGCUCUGAGAGGAGGAGCCCGGAGAUGGGCACUGAGACAAGGGCCCAGGUCCUAUGGGGCGCAGCAGGCGCGAAACCUCCGCAAUGGGCGAAAGCCCGACGGGGUUAGUCCGAGUGGUCCCUGCUGAAGGGGCCUUUUGCCAGCUGUAAAAAGGCUGGCGAAUAAGGGGUGGGCAAGUUUGGUGUCAGCCGCCGCGGUAAUACCAGCACCCCGAGUGGUCGGGACGAUUAUUGGGCCUAAAGCAUCCGUAGCCGGCUUAGCAAGUCCUCCGUUAAAUCCAACGGCUUAACCGUUGGGCUGCGGAGGAUACUGCUAAGCUAGGGGGCGGGAGAGGCGAGGGGUAUUCCCAGGGUAGGGGUAAAAUCCGUUGAUCCUGGGAGGACCACCAGUGGCGAAGGCGCCUCGCUAGAACGCGCCCGACGGUGAGGGAUGAAAGCUGGGGGAGCGAACCGGAUUAGAUACCCGGGUAGUCCCAGCCGUAAACGAUGUAGGCUCGAUGUUGGGUUACCCAAGUGGUAGCCCAGUGUCGCAGGGAAGCCGUUAAGCCUACCGCCUGGGGAGUACGGCCGCAAGGCUGAAACUAAAGGAAUGGCGGG